GACGAACGCUGGCGGCGUGCUUAACACAUGCAAGUCGAACGAAGAGCGACGGAAGCUUGCUUCUAUCAAUCUUAGUGGCGAACGGGUGAGUAACGCGUAAUCAACCUGCCCUUCAGAGGGGGACAACAGUUGGAAACGACUGCUAAUACCGCAUACGAUCUAAUCUCGGCAUCGAGGAUGGAUGAAAGGUGGCCUCUACAUGUAAGCUAUCACUGAAGGAGGGGAUUGCGUCUGAUUAGCUAGUUGGAGGGGUAACGGCCCACCAAGGCGAUGAUCAGUAGCCGGUCUGAGAGGAUGAACGGCCACAUUGGGACUGAGACACGGCCCAGACUCCUACGGGAGGCAGCAGUGGGGAAUCUUCCGCAAUGGACGAAAGUCUGACGGAGCAACGCCGCGUGAGUGAUGACGGCCUUCGGGUUGUAAAGCUCGGUUAAUCGGGACGAAAGGCCUUCUUGCGAAUAGUGAGGAGGAUUGACGGUACCGGAAUAGAAAGCCACGGCUAACUACGUG
Molecule: ribosomal RNA, 510 nt
Filed under: uncultured bacterium
Lineage: Bacteria
Description: partial 16S ribosomal RNA
Rfam family: Bacterial small subunit ribosomal RNA
Source: RNAcentral